This 485-nucleotide ribosomal RNA is filed under the name uncultured bacterium. RNAcentral's name for it is "bacterial SSU rRNA". It matches the Rfam family "Bacterial small subunit ribosomal RNA", at positions 30 to 507 of the family's 1533-position model. The record is from RNAcentral.
AUUGAACGCUGGCGGCAUGCCUUACACAUGCAAGUCGAACGGCAGCACGGGAGCAAUCCUGGUGGCGAGUGACGAACGGGUGAGUUAAUAUAUCGGAACGUGCCCAGUCGUGGGGGAUAACGUAGCGAAAGCUACGCUAAUACCGCAUACGAUCUAUGGAUGAAAGCGGGGGAUCGCAAGACCUCGCGCGAUUGGAGCGGCCGAUAUCAGAUUAGGUAGUUGGUGAGGUAAAGGCUCACCAAGCCGACGAUCUGUAGCUGGUCUGAGAGGACGACCAGCCACACUGGGACUGAGACACGGCCCAGACUCCUACGGGAGGCAGCAGUGGGGAAUUUUGGACAAUGGGCGCAAGCCUGAUCCAGCAAUGCCGCGUGCAGGAUGAAGGCCUUCGGGUUGUAAACUGCUUUUGUACGGAACGAAACGGUGAGCUCUAAUACAGUUUGCUAAUGACGGUACCGUAAGAAUAAGCACCGGCUAACUACGUG